UACGGAGGGUGCGAGCGUUGUCCGGAAUUACUGGGCGUAAAGCGUGCGUAGGCGGUCUUUUAAGUCUGCUGUGAAAUCCCCGGGCUCAACCUGGGAAUGGCAGUGGAUACUGGGAGGCUAGAGUGUGUCAGAGGAUGGUGGAAUUCCCGGUGUAGCGGUGAAAUGCGUAGAGAUCGGGAGGAACAUCAGUGGCGAAGGCGGCCAUCUGGGACAACACUGACGCUGAGGCACGAAAGCGUGGGGAGCAAACAGG
Molecule: ribosomal RNA, 253 nt
Filed under: uncultured bacterium
Lineage: Bacteria
Description: partial 16S ribosomal RNA
Rfam family: Bacterial small subunit ribosomal RNA
Source: RNAcentral